GAUGAACGCUGGCGGCGCGCCUAACACAUGCAAGUCGAACGAUUAAAGCACCUUCGGGUGUGUAUAAAGUGGCGAACGGCUGAGUAACACGUGGGCAACCUGCCCCUCUCAUUGGGAUAGCCACGGGAAACCGUGGAUAAUACCGAAUACUUCGGGACUUCCGCAUGGAAGACUCGAGAAAGCUCCGGCGGAGAGGGAUGGGCCCGCGGCCUGUUAGCUUGUUGGUGGGGUAAUGGCCUACCAAGGCAAUGAUGGGUAGCUGGGUUGAGAGACCGACCAGCUAGAUUGGGACUGAGACACGGCCCAGACUCCUACGGGAGGCAGCAGUGGGGAAUCUUGCACAAUGGGCGAAAGCCUGAUGCAGCGACGCCGCGUGCGGGAUGAAGGCCUUCGGGUUGUAAACCGCUUUCAGCAGGGACGAGGCGAAAGUGACGGUACCUGCAGAAGAAGCCCCGGCUAACUACGUG
Molecule: ribosomal RNA, 467 nt
Filed under: uncultured bacterium
Lineage: Bacteria
Description: partial 16S ribosomal RNA
Rfam family: Bacterial small subunit ribosomal RNA
Source: RNAcentral